UUUCCGGUUGAUCCUGCCGGACCUGACUGCUAUCGGAUUGAUACUAAGCCAUGCGAGUCUUUGCAGUAAUGCAAGGCAUACGGCUCAGUAACACGUAGUCAACUUACCCUAUGGACGAGGAUAAUCUCGGGAAACUGAGCAUAAUACUCGAUAGAUCAUAAUGCCUGGAAUGGUUUAUGGCUGAAAUGAUUCGUCGCCAUAGGAUGGGACUGCGGCCUAUCAGCUUGUUGGUGAGGUAAUGGCCCACCAAGGCGAUUACAGGUACGGGCUCUGAGAGGAGAAGCCCGGAGAUGGGUACUGAGACAAGGACCCAGGCCCUAUGGGGCGCAGCAGGCGAGAAAACUUUGCAAUGUGCGAAAGCACGACAAGGUUAAUCCGAGUGAUUUCUGCUAAAGAAAUCUUUUGCAAGUCAUAAAACCACUAGUGAAUAAGGGGUGGGCAAGUUCUGGUGUCAGCCGCCGCGGUAAAACCAGCACCUCAAGUGGUCAGGAGGAUUAUUGGGCCUAAAGCAUCCGUAGCCGGCUCUGCAAGUUUUCGGUUAAAUCCAUGUGCUCAACGCAUGGGCUGCCGAAAAUACUGCAUAGCUAGGGAGUGGGAGAGGUAGACGGUACUCGGUAGGAAGGGGUAAAAUCCUUUGAUCUAUCGAUGACCACCUGUGGCGAAGGCGGUCUACCAGAACACGUUCGACGGUGAGGGAUGAAAGCUGGGGGAGCAAACCGGAUUAGAUACCCGGGUAGUCCCAGCUGUAAACGAUGCAGACUCGAUGAUGCAUUGGCAUAUAGCCAGUGCAGUGUCGCAGGGAAGCCGUUAAGUCUGCCGCCUGGGAAGUACGUACGCAAGUAUGAAACUUAAAGGAAUUGGCGGGGGAGCACCACAAGGGGUGAAGCCUGCGGUUCAAUUGGAGUCAACGCCGGA
This 915-nucleotide ribosomal RNA is filed under the name uncultured archaeon. RNAcentral describes it as "SSU rRNA". It matches the Rfam family "Archaeal small subunit ribosomal RNA", at positions 1 to 922 of the family's 1478-position model. The record is from RNAcentral.